AAACUGAAGAGUUUGAUCCUGGCUCAGAUUGAACGCUGGCGGCAUGCUUUACACAUGCAAGUCGAGCGGCAUCGCGGGGGCAACCCUGGCGGCGAGCGGCGAACGGGUGAGUAAUGCAUCGGAACGUGUCCUCUAGUGGGGGAUAACCCAUCGAAAGGUGGGCUAAUACCGCAUAAGCUCUGAGGAGGAAAGCGGGGGACCGAAAGGCCUCGCGCUGGAGGAGCGGCCGAUGUCCGAUUAGCUAGUUGGUGGGGUAAAGGCCCACCAAGGCGACGAUCGGUAGCUGGUCUGAGAGGAUGAUCAGCCACACUGGGACUGAGACACGGCCCAGACUCCUACGGGAGGCAGCAGUGGGGAAUUUUGGACAAUGGGGGGAACCCUGAUCCAGCCAUGCCGCGUGAGUGAAGAAGGCCUUCGGGUUGUAAAGCUCUUUCGCACGCGACGAUGAUGACGGUAGCGUGAGAAGAAGCCCCGGCUAA
This 479-nucleotide ribosomal RNA is filed under the name Nitrosomonas sp. RNAcentral's name for it is "bacterial SSU rRNA". It matches the Rfam family "Bacterial small subunit ribosomal RNA", at positions 1 to 500 of the family's 1533-position model. The record is from RNAcentral. Lineage: Bacteria; Pseudomonadati; Pseudomonadota; Betaproteobacteria; Nitrosomonadales; Nitrosomonadaceae.